GAUGAAGACGUAGCGAAAUGCGAUAAGUAAUGUGAAUUGCAGAAUUCAGUGAAUCAUCGAAUCUUUGAACGCACAUUGCGCCCGCCAGUAUUCUGGCGGGCAUGCCUGUUCGAGCGUCAUUUCAACCAUCAAGCCCCCGGCUUGUGUUGGGGACCUGCGGCUGCCGCAGGCCCUGAAAAGCAGUGGCGGGCUCGCUGUCACACCGAGCGUAGUAGCAUACAUCUCGCUCUGGGCGUGCUGCGGGUUCCGGCCGUUAAACCACCUUCAUAACCCAAGGUUGACGUCGGAUCAGGUAGGAAGACCCGCUGAACUUAAGCAUAUCAAUAAGCGGAGGA
RNAcentral lists this unclassified non-coding RNA (335 nucleotides) under soil metagenome. Its description in RNAcentral is "partial contains 5.8S ribosomal RNA, internal transcribed spacer 2, and large subunit ribosomal RNA". The stretch from base 1 to 119 matches the Rfam family "5.8S ribosomal RNA", at positions 35 to 154 of the family's 154-position model. The record is from RNAcentral.